GACGAACGCUGGCGGCGUGCUUAACACAUGCAAGUCGAACGCUGAAGCUUGGUGCUUGCACUGGGUGGAUGAGUGGCGAACGGGUGAGUAAUACGUGAGUAACCUGCCCUUGACUCUGGGAUAAGCCUGGGAAACUGGGUCUAAUACUGGAUACGACAUGCCACUGCAUGGUGGUGUGUGGAAAGGGUUUUACUGGUUUUGGAUGGGCUCACGGCCUAUCAGCUUGUUGGUGGGGUAAUGGCCUACCAAGGCGACGACGGGUAGCCGGCCUGAGAGGGUGACCGGCCACACUGGGACUGAGACACGGCCCAGACUCCUACGGGAGGCAGCAGUGGGGAAUAUUGCACAAUGGGCGGAAGCCUGAGGCAGCGACGCCGCGUGAGGGAUGACGGCCUUCGGGUUGUAAACCUCUUUCAGCAAGGAAGAAGCGAGAGUGACGGUACGUGCAGAAGAAGCGCCGGCUAACUACGUG
RNAcentral lists this ribosomal RNA (472 nucleotides) under uncultured bacterium. RNAcentral describes it as "partial 16S ribosomal RNA". It matches the Rfam family "Bacterial small subunit ribosomal RNA", at positions 28 to 507 of the family's 1533-position model. The record is from RNAcentral.